RNAcentral lists this ribosomal RNA (400 nucleotides) under uncultured bacterium. RNAcentral's name for it is "bacterial SSU rRNA". It matches the Rfam family "Bacterial small subunit ribosomal RNA", at positions 359 to 776 of the family's 1533-position model. The record is from RNAcentral.
GAAUAUUGGACAAUGGGCGAAAGCCUGAUCCAGCAAUGCCGCGUGAGUGAUGAAGGCCUUAGGGUUGUAAAGCUCUUUUACCCGGGAUGAUAAUGACAGUACCGGGAGAAUAAGCCCCGGCUAACUCCGUGCCAGCAGCCGCGGUAAUACGGAGGGGGCUAGCGUUGUUCGGAAUUACUGGGCGUAAAGCGCACGUAGGCGGCUUUGUAAGUUAGAGGUGAAAGCCCGGAGCUCAACUCCGGAAUUGCCUUUAAGACUGCAUCGCUAGAACGUUGGAGAGGUAAGUGGAAUUCCGAGCGUAGAGGUGAAAUUCGUAGAUAUUCGGAAGAACACCAGUGGCGAAGGCGACUUACUGGACGGGAACUGACGCUGAGGUACGAAAGCGUGGGGAGCAAACAGG